Molecule: non-coding RNA, 3144 nt
Organism: Heterocephalus glaber (naked mole-rat)
Lineage: Eukaryota; Metazoa; Chordata; Mammalia; Rodentia; Bathyergidae
Source: RefSeq, a predicted model, not a curated record
UGAACGCUGCUGCCAAGUGCCAUCCAGUGGAAAGGCAGGGUGGUAAAAACAUGAUUAUGUGUCCUUCUCCACCAUAUUCACCUGAUCUGGCACCAUGUGCUUUCUGGCUCUUCCCUAGAGUCAAAAUGACCAUGAAAUUCAGGACAUCAAGGCUGCCGAGACAAUGAAACUAAAGACACUCACAAAAGAGGAUGUCCAGAAAUGCUGCAGAGGAUAGCAAGAAAAAUGGAAUAUCCCACAAUUGGAAAAUGCUUUCUCUGCCUGAGUCCUUUCAAACACUUUGAGUGUCCACUGCCCAAAGAAGUCACUGAUCUUUCAGUCUUCCAUUAACAUGACCUGGUGGCCCAUAUCUCAGCAUAUUGAUUCCUCAAGAGAAUUUUAGCAACAACCCAUGGCAUCCCUUAAGCUGUAGUGGACACACGUGGUACUCUUUACCUGAUCCUGUUGCAGCCUCUCUGCCUUGAUUUAAGAAGAGCUGCUGUUACAUUAUCAUGAUUAUCUGGAAUAAAAGUACAACAUGUCAUAUGAAGCAUGAUGUAUGUGCCCCUUGAGCAGACUUGUGUGGGGGCAGUAGAUCCAAGGCACUUUUAUCAUUAGUUCCAUCUGCAUGACCACUCUGAAUUUGACAGUCCCUAGAUUUCUUGCUUUGAUGAAGGAAGCUGCAUGUGGAAUAAAUCUACAUUUCACAGCAAGUAAGGACCUGAAACUGGAACAUGACACGGGGAGCCUGCAGCACAACCCUAUUAAUGAAUGAUGUAAUGGAAACUGGGAACACCAGCUUUCUCUUUAGACUUGAGUAUUCAACUUCUAAGACAACCAUGAUUGGUAAGGAAAUUACAGUUCCCUGGGCAUGCUGUGUAUUUCAAGGUGCUUCAUAUCUAGAUAAGAUAACUGAUCUCCAGGACGUUUAACAACUGAGUUUUGAAGACCAGGGUUAAAAAGAUAACUGGACUAAGAGGAUAGCCAAUAUUUUGGCCCUGGUCCUCCAAGGUCAACAAGGACCCAGGACAUGGGGAGAACUUUUCUCCAGGAUACUACAACUUUGGUGAGUCCCCCAAACUCCUGAACAGGAAAAUUUUUAGACCUUCAAGAAUAGGAGUAAACCAAUGUGCAGUGUGCUAAAAAAAAAAGAGUCACCAGAGAGAAAAACAUCUCCCUUGCUUCCACAGGAAGCCAAAUGGUAAGAAAGGCUGUGACUCAUCCUGGCAGCUGUGACAGAGGAGCUGAGAGGCUCUGCAUAUAGUUCCAAAAGUAAUACCUGAGGAGCCUUAACUGACCUUGAUAAAUAGCAAGAGGUUAAUUUUGAUUAACACAGGUAUCACUUUAACUUGAUCUUGAACAUUCAACAGAAAAGUUUAACCAAAAAGAUAUUAAAGUAAGAGUAAUGUAGUCAAAACACAAAAGGGGGGCUCCAAUCACUGACCCCUGCUAACAGUUUCUAGGUACACCUGUAUACAGGUCUAGAAACCAACUGGCUAUAAUUGCUAUUCCAGUCCCUUAAGGGCAGUGUCUUAAUGUGGCUCUUUUGCCAAUUUGUCUUUCCAUUUUGAUGCUUAUGCUUUGGUUAUGAAUACUUUAACAUCUUGGUAAAGAUUGUUUAUUCUCACCUAGGUGCUGCCAAACUCCUAAUGAGCAUGCAGAUGGAACCAAUGAUAAAAGUGCUUUGGAUCCAUUGCCCCUGCACAGACUGCCCAAGGGGCACAUGUGCCAUGCUUCAUAUGACACGUUGUACUUUCAUCCCAGAUAAUCAUGAUAAUAGGAGAUAAACACAGGAGGUUCAGGCAGUAUAUCAAAUGUUUCAGGAUGCCUCACAGAAUUCAUGGGGUUCAUGAAAGACCACUAUCUUAUCUUGGAUUCUUCCCUUUACAGUGCCUAUUCUUCUCUUUUUACUCACCUGUUUAUUAUUGCCAUGUCUAAUCAAUCUAUUGCAAAGAUUUUUUUCACCAAGAAGAUUGUGGCUAUUUCACCAGCAGUUGCCAAAGGCCAUAACAAUAAGAUCCUCUUCCUUUAGUCCAGAUGAAAUUCUGAUCAUCACCACCCCUAUUCAACAGGAAGUAGGUAAGGAAGAAAUGUGCUGCCUGUUUUCCCUAUCUAUCCAUAGUGUCUGGAACGAAGGAAUAUGACCACCACAUCCUAGGUUGAUCAAAAACCACACUAAGCUCCCCCUCCCAUUACAGCUAUACUCAGUCACUCAUAUUAUUAUCAGUCCUGCUAUUGACAGCAACCACUACUCCCAGCAUUUUCUCAAGCCUCAUCCUUGGGAAACCAUUACCUCUUGUGUUUUCUCAAGCCUUGUUCUUGGCAGGUAGUCACAACCUCCUUUCACUGAACUUCUCCCCAAUCCCAUGACCCUCUAAAAGACCCUGUACCCUGUACAAGAGGAUCAAGUCUGGUCUCAGUGUGAGAAAGGUCCCUUUCUGGUUUGUUCCGAAAUAAACAUGUCCUGUUGAGCUCGUACCUUUGUUUCUUUUCCUUCUUUUUUCCCCCUAAACCCAGCUUUGCCAUUUAAGAACCAAAAUAAGAAAAUGGACCACACCAAUCUCUUUGCUGGGGUACAGGUAAGAAGCCCCAUGUUCACCUGGCUUGUUGAGCCAUUUAGUAGAGAGCCACAGGAGAGGUACUAGAUUCCAGAGGCAAACUUGAUUCCUUCAACAGUUCAAAAAGUCCUUAUGUCUUCUGUGGAAUCUGACCCUUUGUGCUAAGAAUGUAAUACUGGAAACAACAGAAGCAUACAUUUCAGACAUUUCUUUACACUGGGUUCCAGCUGAUAUUAAGUGCUAUUUGUAUUGUGUGAGGAAUGAUUAGAGAUGGUCACUGUUUUUCUCUUGUGCAUGUAGAAAUAAGACAGCAGGAACACAAAGGUGAUUUCAGAUGAAUCUGAUUUAAUGAAAACACUGUGAAGAUUUCUAGAAAAAUAUAGCAAUUUACCUUCUCUGCAAGAUAUUUCUAUACUUGUUACAAAUUUUGGUGGCUAAUUGCCAAGCUUGGUGGGGCAUGCCUAUAAUCCCAGCACUUGGGAGGUUAAAGCAGGAGAACUGUGAGUCUACACCAGCCUAAAAUGUAGCAAAAUCGUGUCUGAGGGCCAUGGAUUUAGGUCAGUGGUUCCGGUGCCUGCCUCGAAAGCACAAGGUACCGAGUUCGAUU